AGACCCGAAACCCGGUGAUCUAGCCAUGGGCAGGUUGAAGGUUGGGUAACACUAACUGGAGGACCGAACCGACUAAUGUUGAAAAAUUAGCGGAUGACCUGUGGCUGGGGGUGAAAGGCCAAUCAAACCGGGAGAUAGCUGGUUCUCCCCGAAAGCUAUUUAGGUAGCGCCUCGUGAAUUCAUCUCCGGGGGUAGAGCACUGUUUCGGCUAGGGGGCCAUCCCGGCUUACCAACCCGAUGCAAACUGCGAAUACCGGAGAAUGUUAUCACGGGAGACACACGGCGGGUGCUAACGUCCGUCGUGAAGAGGGAAACAACCCAGACCGCCAGCUAAGGUCCCAAAGUCAUGGUUAAGUGGGAAACGAUGUGGGAAGGCCCAGACAGCCAGGAUGUUGGCUUAGAAGCAGCCAUCAUUUAAAGAAAGCGUAAUAGCUCACUGGUCGAGUCGGCCUGCGCGGAAGAUGUAACGGGGCUAAACCAUGCACCGAAGCUGCGGCAGCGACACUGUGUGUUGUUGGGUAGGGGAGCGUUCUGUAAGCCUGUGAAGGUGGCCUG
Molecule: ribosomal RNA, 555 nt
Filed under: Salmonella enterica subsp. enterica serovar Limete
Lineage: Bacteria; Pseudomonadati; Pseudomonadota; Gammaproteobacteria; Enterobacterales; Enterobacteriaceae
Description: partial 23S ribosomal RNA
Rfam family: Bacterial large subunit ribosomal RNA
Source: RNAcentral